This is a long non-coding RNA of Chiloscyllium plagiosum (whitespotted bambooshark), 433 nucleotides long. RefSeq lists it as uncharacterized. Lineage: Eukaryota; Metazoa; Chordata; Chondrichthyes; Orectolobiformes; Hemiscylliidae. The record is from RefSeq and is a predicted model, not a curated record.
GAAAUAUAUCACCGUUCCUUCACUGUUGCUGGGUAAAAAUCCUGAAAUUCCCUCCCUAAUGGCAUGGUGGAUCAACCUCGCAUGGUGGACUGUAAGGUUUCAAGGAGCAGCUCGGCACAACAUUCUCAAGGGCAAUUCGGGACGGGCAAUAAAUGCUUACAAGCUUUUAUGUUUUUAAGAUGCCAUCAACUGGAAUAAACAAAAUCAUUCAAAUACAGAAUCUCCAUAGGCAUUUAAGAUCUGACAAAGGACACUAAAAGAAAUCCAAGAACUAAGAACAUGAUAGAAGCCAUUCAUUACAAAAGAAUCAAUACUCAACUUUUAAUAGUCACAGAUUUCUUAAAAUAGUUUUCUAAGUGGAGCCGCAGAAAAUGGGGGAGACACUAAAUGAGUAUUUUGCAUCAGAAUUCACUGUGGAAAAAGAUAUGGAAGA